GAAAAGUUGGGCCUACUUUUUCUAUUUGUAGGCACAGAGUCUCUGGUCCCUGGUCCAAUUUGAGUUGAGUUUUGUGCAGGGUGAGAGGUAUUCAAUUUCAUUGUGCUCUAUAUGGUUUUUCAUGCACCAUUUGUUGAAGAGGCUAUCUUUUGUCCAAUGUAUGUUUUUGCCACCUUUGUCUAGUAUGAGAUAACUAUAUUUAUGCGGGUUUGUAUAUGUGUCUUCUAUUCUGAAACAUUAGAAUUCAUGUCUGUUUUGGUGCCAAUAGCUUGCUGUUUUUGUUACUAUAGCUCUUUAGUAUAAUUUAAUGUCUAGUAUUGUGAUGCCUCCUGCUUUACAUUUUUCACUAAGGAUUGCUUUGGCUAUUUGGGCCUCUUAUUUUUCAAAAUGAAUCUCAUGACUGCUUUUUCUAUUUUUAUGAAAAAUAUCACUGAAAUUUUAAUAGGAAUUGCAUUAAAUCUGUAUAGUGCCUUUUGGUAGUGUGGCCAUUUUGACUAUUAAUUAUGCAUAUUAAAGAACAUGGGAGAUCUUUCCAUCUUCUAAGGUCUUCUUUAAUUUCUAUCUUUAAUGUUCUGUAUUUUUCAAUAUAGAGGUUUUUCACCUCUUUUGUUAGAUUUGAUUCCUAAAUAUUUUUUGAGGCUACUAUGAACGGGACAGUUUUCCUAAUUUCUCUUUCAGUUGAUUUAUCACUGAUACAUAGGAAUGCAAUUGAUUUGUGGGUGUUAAUUUAAUAUCCUGCUACUUUGCUGAAUUUAUUUAUGAGUUCUAGAAGUUUUCUGCUAGAGGUUUUUGGUCUUAUAAAUAUAGAAUCAUAUCAUUGUCAAAUAGCGAUAGUUUGAGUCUUUCUUUUCCUAUUCAUAUCCCUUUAAUUUUCUUCUUCUGCCUAACUGCUGUGGCUAGAGUUUCAAGCACUAUAUUGAAUAGAAGUGGUAAAAGAGGGCAUCCUUGUCUUGUUUCAGUAUUUAGAGAGAAUGCCUUCAAUUUUUCUCCAUUUAGAAUGAUGUUGGCCUUGGGUUUAGCAUAUGCAGCUUUUAUAGUGUUGAGGUAUGUUCCUACUAUCCCUGGUUUUUCUAGUGUUUUAGACAUAAAUGGAUGCUG
Molecule: long non-coding RNA, 1098 nt
Filed under: Marmota monax (woodchuck)
Lineage: Eukaryota; Metazoa; Chordata; Mammalia; Rodentia; Sciuridae
Source: RNAcentral